CACAUUGUGUUGAAACACUAGUUCCUGUAUGAUUACCAAAGUUAAGCAACCUCGAGCCUGUUCAGUACCUAGAUAGGUGACCACUUGGGAAUACCACGUGC
This is a non-coding RNA of Acanthosepion pharaonis, 101 nucleotides long. The record is from the annotation of a GenBank genome assembly. NCBI's taxonomy places the organism in Eukaryota, Metazoa, Mollusca, Cephalopoda, Sepiida, Sepiidae.